This 30-nucleotide non-coding RNA is filed under the name Mus musculus (house mouse). The record is from RNAcentral. Lineage: Eukaryota; Metazoa; Chordata; Mammalia; Rodentia; Muridae.
UGAGAGGAAUAUUUUGGUGCACAGACACUA